Ictidomys tridecemlineatus (thirteen-lined ground squirrel) is the source of this 889-nucleotide long non-coding RNA. RefSeq lists it as uncharacterized. Lineage: Eukaryota; Metazoa; Chordata; Mammalia; Rodentia; Sciuridae. The record is from RefSeq and is a predicted model, not a curated record.
UAUCACUGCUAAACCUGUUUUACAGAUGAGGGAGCUCAAGAUCAAUCACUUCCUGAGGUCAUAGAGCAAGCAGGCGGAAGAGCUGGAACUCAAGCAUCUGUCCGUCCAUCUGUCCAUCCAUCCAUCCAUCCAUCCAUCCAUCCAUCCCACAAAUACUAAUUGAACACCUACUACCCGCUGGCUACCAGGGAUUCAUGUGAGAAUAAUAAAGAUAACAGUCCCUGCUCUGUGGAGACAAACACAACAAAAAGAAUAGUUGGAAUUAUACGUGUGGCUCACACAAUGUUUUUGUCCUGGCCCUGGCCAUUCCAGAGCUCCCAGGCGACUCGGGGAGCAGGGCACACAAUGGAGUGAUUGUAGUACCAUGAGGCAUUGUUACAGGUUCUGCUCCAGAAUUAUACACCAGGGAACAAGAUGGACAAACCCUGUUCUCACAGAGCUGACUUGCAGGUGACAUUGCUCAGGACAAGGACGAGAGAAAGAACAAAUCACGGUCGGAGAGGAGGAAGCUACCUUGUUUUUCAGUUUGAAGUUCAGGGCAGAGAAAACCAGGUGGAUGGAAGGGCUGCCAGUCAUCCCGUUGCCCUGCCCCCUUCACCUGUACACAAAGGAAGGAGGAAAAGAAGGAACGUGCAAGGAACUCAGAGCUGAAAUCUCCAAAAGGAAUCAAGAAUAUCAGUGUUGGAGCGUCGUAUAGAUCAUCUCCUGUCCCACUGGUUGCCCCCCUACUAUGGUGGAUACCCCCAGGGAUGCUCUUCCCAAGGGGACCCCUCUGCCAUCACAAUUACUAAAUGAAGGACCUAAGUGGCAGGAAAACUUAGUCUGGGUUAUUUCAGUGGAAUCCUGGUAGGUGACACCAAUUCUAUUAAUAAAAUUCUUGGAACGAGAA